UUUAUGGAGAGUUUGAUCCUGGCUCAGGAUGAACGCUGGCGGCGUGCCUAAUACAUGCAAGUCGAGCGAACAGAUAAGGAGCUUGCUCCUUUGACGUUAGCGGCGGACGGGUGAGUAACACGUGGGUAACCUACCUAUAAGACUGGAAUAACUCCGGGAAACCGGGGCUAAUGCCGGAUAACAUGUUGAACCG
RNAcentral lists this ribosomal RNA (193 nucleotides) under Staphylococcus pseudintermedius. Its description in RNAcentral is "partial 16S ribosomal RNA". It matches the Rfam family "Bacterial small subunit ribosomal RNA", at positions 1 to 188 of the family's 1533-position model. Lineage: Bacteria; Bacillati; Bacillota; Bacilli; Caryophanales; Staphylococcaceae. The record is from RNAcentral.